UACAGAGGUCCCAAGCGUUGUUCGGAUUCACUGGGCGUAAAGGGUGCGUAGGUGGUUGGGUAAGUCUGAUGUGAAAUCUCCGGGCUCAACCCGGAAAUGGCAUUGGAUACUAUUCGGCUAGAGGUUUGGAGGGGGGACUGGAAUUCUCGGUGUAGCAGUGAAAUGCGUAGAUAUCGAGAGGAACACCAGUGGCGAAGGCGGCUCACUGGCUCGUAACUGACGCUCAUGCACGACAGCGUGGGGAUCAAACAGG
RNAcentral lists this ribosomal RNA (253 nucleotides) under uncultured bacterium. RNAcentral's name for it is "partial 16S ribosomal RNA". It matches the Rfam family "Bacterial small subunit ribosomal RNA", at positions 524 to 776 of the family's 1533-position model. The record is from RNAcentral.